UGAAUACGAGACGCUAAGGCGUCGAAGUAGUGUAUGUCAUACUUCCAAGAAAAGCUUGCACUGUCAUAAGUAAAAAAUGCCUGUACCAUAACCGACACAGGUGGGUAGGUAGAGUAUACUAAGGGGCGCGAGAUAACUCUCUCUAAGGAACUCGGCAAAAUAACUCCGUAACUUCGGGAGAAGGAGUACCUUAUUCUAUAAGGUUGCAAUAACAAGAUCCAAGCAACUGUUUAUCAAAAACACAGGUCUCCGCUAAGUCGUAAGACGAUGUAUGGGGGCUGACGCCUGCCCAGUGCCAGAAGGUUAAAGAAGUCGGUUAGCAUUAGCGAAGCUGGUAACUGAAGCCCUGGUGAACGGCGGCCGUAACAAUAACGGUCCUAAGGUAGCGAAAUUCCUUGUCGGGUAAGUUCCGACCCGCACGAAAGGCGUAAUGAUUUGGAUACUGUCUCGGAGAGGGGCUCGGUGAAAUAGACUUGUCUGUGAAGAUGCGGACUACCUGCACCAGGACAGAAAGACCCUAUGAAGCUUUACUGUAACUUGAAAUUGAAAUUGGACUUUAUUCGCGCAGUAUAGGUGGGAGGUGUUGAUUAUAAUCUUGCGGGAUUAUUGGAGCCAUCAGUGAGAUACCACUCUUGUAAUGUUAGAUUUCUAACUUUGAAUCAUUAUCUGGUCAAAGGACAGUUUCAGGCGGGCAGUUUGACUGGGGCGGUCGCCUCCCAAACGGUAACGGAGGCGUACAAAGGUUUCCUCUGAACGGGUAGAAAUCGUAUCUAGAGUGUAAAGGCAUAAGGAAGCUUGACUGUGAGACCUACAAGUCGAACAGAGACGAAAGUCGGUCUUAGUGAUCUGACGGUACUGAGUGGAAAGGCCGUCACUCAACGGAUAAAAGUUACUCUAGGAUAACAGGCUGAUCUCCCCCAAGAGUUCACAUCGACGGGGAGGUUUGGCACCUCGAUGUCGGCUCAUCGCAUCCUGGGGCGGUAGUACGUCCCAAGGGUUGGGCUGUUCGCCCAUGAAAGCGGUACGCGAGCUGGGUUCAGAACGUCGUGAGACAGUUCGGUCCAUAUCCGGUGUAGGCGUUAGAAUAUUGAGAGGAGCCUUCUUUAGUACGAGAGGACCGAGAAGGACAUACCUCUGGUGUACCAGUUAUCGUGCCAACGGUAAACGCUGGGUAGCUAUGUAUGGAGUGGAUAACCGCUGAAAGCAUCUAAGUGGGAAGCCCACCUCAAGAUAAGUAUUCAC
This 1242-nucleotide ribosomal RNA is filed under the name metagenome. RNAcentral's name for it is "bacterial LSU rRNA". It matches the Rfam family "Bacterial large subunit ribosomal RNA", at positions 1564 to 2815 of the family's 2925-position model. The record is from RNAcentral.